RNAcentral lists this unclassified non-coding RNA (261 nucleotides) under uncultured fungus. Its description in RNAcentral is "partial contains small subunit ribosomal RNA, internal transcribed spacer 1, and 5.8S ribosomal RNA". The stretch from base 1 to 73 matches the Rfam family "Eukaryotic small subunit ribosomal RNA", at positions 1759 to 1831 of the family's 1831-position model. Lineage: Eukaryota; Fungi. The record is from RNAcentral.
GCAAACUUGGUCAUUUAGAGGAAGUAAAAGUCGUAAUAAGGUUUCUGUAGGUGAACCUAUAGAAGGAUCAUUACUGAGUGUGGGUUUUUCCAGCCCAACUUCUUACCUGUGUUGACUGUGACUCUGUUGCUUCGGCGGGGCCUGUGCCUGCCGGAGGAGGCCCCUAAACCCUGUGUGAACUGGGUGUCUGAGUGAGGGAUUGAAUCAGUAAAAACUUUCAACAAUAGAUCUCUUGGUUCUGGCAUCGAUGAAGAACGCAGC